CACCAGGUGAUGCAAGGUCAACUUGAGAACUGUGAGCAGUUCUGAAAAACUGAAGAUGGAGGAAUCAUAAGUUCCUGUGCUGGUGGCUAUGCCCUGGGCAAUGACAAAGCCUGUGUUUCUGGCUUCAUCAAACAAGCUCUGCUGAGUGGCACUUCAGUGACAGAAAUUGCUUCCAACAGCAGCUGCUCUGCAAGGUUCCUUGCAUGUCACUCAGCUUGGUACCUCAGGGACAGCACAGGCACCAUGGCCCACAGAGGUGGAAGACCACAGUCCUCUAUUUCCAAUAUAUUGGCUUAAAUCAGGUCUUCAGCCCUGAAUGAUCUUGUGUCCCCAUUUCAGCAUCAAGCACGUGCUGAGAGGGGCAGCCCAGGGCAGUAGUGGGUUGCAGGUAUGGGAUUGCUGCAGCUACUUUCAUUAUCUGACAUGGGGAUGGCAGACAAGAAAAGGUAAGAGCCAAUGCACAGAGUGGAGAAAAUGUAUGGCCAUGCUGAAUUGGAUACAGAAACUUUCAGCAGCAACAGCAGCAGCACAGUCUUUGUCAAAUUGGAGAAACCUGUCACAUUUUCUGAAGAUGUUGUCCCAGCAGGCCUUCCAGAAGAUUUUGCUAGAUAUAUUCUUGUGGAAGAGGUUUUACAGUGACUUCUGUGAGCCAGAAAGAAGUUUGAUAAGAGGAUCCAUGUUUACCCCUGAAAGAAUCUUCUACCAAGGCCAUUGACAUAAAAACCAAGAAAGAAAGAAGGACAAAUAAGAUCUCUCAUGUAUCUGCAGCUACCUGCUCCAAUAAGCACUUUGUUUGUCUUUCCUGACCAAUGAGUAAAGUGUAAACUUUUGAGUCUUGUAAGAAUGUAAAAAGCAUCCAUGCUAUAAUAAAACUGGAUUUGAA
Long non-coding RNA from Passer domesticus (house sparrow), 883 nucleotides. RefSeq lists it as uncharacterized. The record is from RefSeq and is a predicted model, not a curated record. Lineage: Eukaryota; Metazoa; Chordata; Aves; Passeriformes; Passeridae. The transcript is spliced from 4 exons.